UACGUAGGCAGCAAGCGUUGUUCGGAGUUACUGGGCGUAAAGCGUGCGCAGGCGGUUUUGUAAGUCUGUCGUGAAAUCCCCGGGCUUAACCUGGGAAUUGCGAUGGAGACUGCAAGGCUGGAGUCUGGCAGAGGGGGGUAGAAUUCCACGUGUAGCAGUGAAAUGCGUAGAGAUGUGGAGGAACACCGAUGGCGAAGGCAGCCCCCUGGGUCAAGACUGACGCUCAUGCACGAAAGCGUGGGGAGCAAACAGG
Molecule: ribosomal RNA, 253 nt
Filed under: uncultured bacterium
Lineage: Bacteria
Description: partial 16S ribosomal RNA
Rfam family: Bacterial small subunit ribosomal RNA
Source: RNAcentral